Molecule: long non-coding RNA, 887 nt
Organism: Pelmatolapia mariae (spotted tilapia)
Lineage: Eukaryota; Metazoa; Chordata; Actinopteri; Cichliformes; Cichlidae
Exons: 3
Source: RefSeq, a predicted model, not a curated record
CCACAUGUUGGUUCUGAAGGACAAGCUGUUUUUCAUUGUUCGCAAGCUGAGGGCGUGGCAUUGGGAGCAUUUCAGGGCCUUUGAACUUCAAGUGAGCCCCAACAAGGACAUUUUGCUUUUGGGGCCAGAUGAACUGACAGAUCCAUAUCCAUUGGUGGAUUAUACUGUAGGAGGAAUGCGUUUGAUUACCUUAAAGAGAUAUAUUCAAGUUUAAGAUAUCCUGGACGUGUUUUGACAUUAAAUUCCUGCGCUACAUAAGUAGUUUGUGCACAGUCUACAUCAACCCUUCAACACGCACAGAAGGUCAACUUGAGAAAGGGAAUGCGGAAUACACAAAGGACCAAACCAGGCUCACACCUACAUCAAAAAUGUUGUCCGACAUUCUGGAAAGACUGGCAGAGAAGAUUUUCUCCUACAAGGCGUACCCCAGUGAUGCAGACCUGAUUGACGUUGCGGAGGCUCUGACAAGGAAACAUCCCUGCUUGAGGCAACCAGACUCCUUCAAUGAGAGCUACGGAUGGAAACUCAGACUAAAGACUAAGAUGAACAAUUACCGCACUCAGCUUAAGUCACAUGGACUUGCAUCUGAGCUCUUAGUAAAUACCCUCAAAUCAAAGUCACGAGAAGAUCCUUUUCCCAAGCCAGCCAAGAACAACAAAAAGGCAAGAAGAGGUGAGGCCAAUUACUAUCCUCAGACCAGCAGUGAGAAUCCAGAAAGCCUAGAACUAGAGCGAAUAUCUCUCCUGACUGAAUUAAAGAAGAGAAACAAUGAGAAAACUGUACGAGAGAAGAUGGCCAGGACCUUUGAAUUCAGGAGGAAAGAGGUUGUGGAUAAGAAGCCUGACAUCAAGAACCUCUUGGAAAGAUGGCCAGGUCUAUUUCAGAUG